RNAcentral lists this ribosomal RNA (253 nucleotides) under uncultured prokaryote. Its description in RNAcentral is "partial 16S ribosomal RNA". It matches the Rfam family "Bacterial small subunit ribosomal RNA", at positions 525 to 777 of the family's 1533-position model. The record is from RNAcentral.
ACGAAGGGUGCAAGCGUUACUCGGAAUUACUGGGCGUAAAGCGUGCGUAGGUGGUUUGUUAAGUCUGAUGUGAAAGCCCCGGGCUUAACCUGGGAAUGGCAUUGGAAACUGGCGAGCUUGAGUGCGGCAGAGGGGGGUGGAAUUCCGCGUGUAGCAGUGAAAUGCGUAGAGAUGCGGAGGAACACCGAUGGCGAAGGCAGCCCCCUGGGUCGACACUGACGCUCAGGCACGAAAGCGUGGGGAGCAAACAGGA